AGCUUGCUUUCUUUGCCGGCGACCGGCGCACGGGUGAGUAACACGUAUCCAACCUGCCCUUUACUCGGGGAUAGCCUUUCGAAAGAAAGAUUAAUACCCGAUGGCAUAAUGAUUCCGCAUGGUUUCAUUAUUAAAGGAUUCCGGUAAAGGAUGGGGAUGCGUUCCAUUAGGUUGUUGGUGGGGUAACGGCCCACCGAGCCUUCGAUGGAUAGGGGUUCUGAGAGGAAGGUCCCCCACAUUGGAACUGAGACACGGUCCAAACUCCUACGGGAGGCAGCAU
RNAcentral lists this ribosomal RNA (280 nucleotides) under uncultured bacterium. Its description in RNAcentral is "partial 16S ribosomal RNA". It matches the Rfam family "Bacterial small subunit ribosomal RNA", at positions 77 to 353 of the family's 1533-position model. The record is from RNAcentral.